Molecule: long non-coding RNA, 1368 nt
Organism: Formica exsecta
Lineage: Eukaryota; Metazoa; Arthropoda; Insecta; Hymenoptera; Formicidae
Exons: 2
Source: RefSeq, a predicted model, not a curated record
UUCUCCUCAAUAGUCUCAAUACAUUAAAAUAUGUAUAGAUUUUCUUUGUAGCUUCCUUAUCGACUGUAAGGUCGAUAAGGCCUCUCCCGGCACGUGAGGAGUCAUCUCGAUCUACUCAUUGCGACACCGCAGACCUAAUCGUGAUAAGAGAAAAAAAAGAGUAAGAGAAAGAGAUAAACAGGCAGAGAGAGCAAAAUGAACACUUGGAUGCGCCGCGGGGUCUCCGUCAGGAUGCGGAAUCCGUUCGCUCGCAGAUGUCGGGCCCGGGGCCCGGGGCUUUCUGAUGUGUAUGAGAGAAGAGAGGGGCCGUCUUAUCCUAUCCUGUGUUGCCGCUGCUCGCGGGCACGUACCGUGGCUACCGCCAUCAGCGGGCAGUCUCUUAUUACGCCCGCGCUCAGUUCUACGCGAAUUCUAAAUACUCUUCUUAGACCGCUUGAUAAUAACGCGAACACGGAUAUCAGGAUCUCGAAAGUCGACCAUCAAAAUAACGGAUUUUAUUGAGAGAAAAAGAGAGAAAGAAAAAACUUUAAAUAGUCUUUGGAGAUGACGACAAUAAUGAUGGAUAACACAAAUAUCGAAAUUUCGAAAAUCUUAUCUGAUUUAUUAAAUAGGAGACAAAAUCGAAUGUGAAUAAUGGAUGAUGAUGGAGGACAACAGAACAAGAGAUCGAAGGAUCAAGAGAGAGCAUCAUCCUAUAAUAUCGUCGAAAUCUUCGUUAGGUUGCACGAUAUUUAGAUCGCGGCUAUAUUUCUCGCUGAGAGUCUUAUCGAGCGGUUUAACUCGAUGGCAUUGCAACAAGUGGAUUUCCGCGAGUAAAGGAGAACGAAGCGAGCGAAGAAUCCUCCUCUGCUCGUCGAGGAGAGAGGCGAUUAGCGGGUCUCGUCGCCUCAGCAGUAGGAUCACGUCGGCAUUAACACGCGCGCGCUAGGAAUCUAUGGUAGGACGCAAGUAGAUUGCUGCGAUCGUUAUCGCGCCAUCGGUGGUACUUUUUAUUCGAAAACAUUUGUGUAUUUUUUUGUUUAUCGAUUAUAGAAUGCCAAAUAAAUUAAUAGAGCCUCAAAUGAAAAAAUUAAUUGUUAAUAAAGAGAAAAACUCUUUAUUGAAAAAAGAGAGAAAAAAUAUUUCUAAAAAUAUAAAUCAAUUAUCCAGGCGAUAUUCCAACUAAUUUAAAACAGUAAGACGUGAGAUUGAGAAUAUGGAUAAUUUCUCAUAUAGAAUAUCGAUGUAUAUUACCGUAGUCCUCGAUGAUGUGGAAUUCGCUUUAAAUUGCAAAUCUUAAAUCGAUGAUUAGCUAUUCCGUAGCAUGAAAUAGCAACUAAGAUCCUUGUUAGAUUUUAUAAAAGAAAAAAACAAUUAAAAAGGAAAAAA